Molecule: ribosomal RNA, 301 nt
Filed under: uncultured bacterium
Lineage: Bacteria
Description: partial 16S ribosomal RNA
Rfam family: Bacterial small subunit ribosomal RNA
Source: RNAcentral
CAGUCGCCACGGUAAUACGAAGGGUGCAAGCGUUAAUCGGAAUUACUGGGCGUAAAGCGUGCGUAGGCGGUGAGUUAAGUCUGCUGUGAAAUCCCCGGGCUCAACCUGGGAAUGGCAGUGGAUACUGGCUCGCUAGAGUGUGUCAGAGGAUGGUGGAAUUCCCGGUGUAGCGGUGAAAUGCGUAGAGAUCGGGAGGAACAUCAGUGGCGAAGGCGGCCAUCUGGGACAACACUGACGCUGAGGCACGAAAGCGUGGGGAGCAAACAGGAUUAGAUACCCCCGUAGUCCCUGUCUCUUAUAA